Molecule: transfer RNA, 83 nt
Filed under: Enterococcus wangshanyuanii
Lineage: Bacteria; Bacillati; Bacillota; Bacilli; Lactobacillales; Enterococcaceae
Description: tRNA-Leu
Rfam family: tRNA
About the family: Transfer RNA (tRNA) molecules are approximately 80 nucleotides in length.
Source: RNAcentral
GCGGACGUGAUGGAACGGCAGACAUGCAAGAUUGAGGGUCUUGUGAGCUUUAGCUCAUGCGGGUUCAAGUCCCGCCGUCCGCA